GAGAAAUCCUCACUUUCUCUCUCUAAAUAACUCUCUCAUCUCUCUAGAUCUUUCGCCCAAAUUCACGGCGUUGGCGGAGAACGAGCUUGCGAACGCGUUGGGAGCGACGGAUCGAGCUUUCGUGCGCCCGUUGGAGCGGCGUGCUUCCGUCUCGGCGUUCACAUUUUGGUAAACUUUUGGGAUUUUUGACUUAAUCCUUAACCUUAGGUGUUCUAGUAGCCUCUAAUGAGCAUUCGUAGCAUGUUGCUCCAUUUAAUUUGGAUUAUUUGGAGGUAAUUGCAUGUUAGGGCUCAAAAAUAGGAUUUUGCAAUAUGUGAGGGUUUGAUCUAAAUUGAUCAUGUAUAAACCUAAUUGCUAGGUUUUCUGACGCGUCGGCGAAGUCGGUUUGGCGAUACGACGAGGCUGCGUGAAGAUAUUAAAGAACGAAGCCAUUAAGGUACAGAUUGCCGCAGCUCGUGGCGAAAGCUUCCAAAAAUCACGAAAUCGGAACCCUAGCCUCAUGAUAGCGAUAAAAGGUGGGGGGUGUCCAUCCGAAGAAAUCGGGCUUCCUUCUAUGUCCGAGUUAGAUUUUUGGUCAUAUUGCACAUAUGGUUCUUAUGCAUUAUAGGAUGUAUGUAUAGUUGCAUUUCUAUUUCCUUGCAUGCAUGUCUAGUUGUGUAGCAUUAUGGACUUGACACUUAAAUCUAGAAUGCAUGAGGAUUAGGGUUUGUGACAUGAGAUCCUAUAGUGAUAAGAAAAUAGUGAACUCGGACUUGAUGAUGAAAACUAGUGACAUGCGAACUAGUGUAUAGAAAACACUAUGACUUGGACGAGUGGCAUGUAAACAAUGUUAGUUAACAACAUGACGAGUGGCAUUGGAAUUUAGUGUAAUAAAAACACUUGUGGCAUUGAGCAUUAGGGAAUAGGUGAGUUUCCCUAGUCAUGGCAUAUUGCAUGAGAAUUAGCGUACUUGAGACACUAUGGCAUCAAACAUAGGGAUAGUUCAAUUCCCUAGUGUAAGUUGAUUAGUGUGGUUGAGACACUUGACAUGGACCUAGGGAUAGGUGGAUUUUCGAGUAUUUGUUAACCUAGUUGACAGGGUAUCCUCAGUUGGCGAGGAUUGGAUCAUACUCACAUAGUCUGUUUUGAGCUUGUGGUGGUCGCUCCACACAAGCAGUGCACUCCGGAGUUGUCACACGAGCUGGGUAGCUCACGAGCUGGGUAGCUCACGAGCGGGGUAGCUCACCGGGUGGGAUACGAGCGGGGUAACUCCUCACCCAUUGGACUGGGAAGUGAGUUCGGGCGAAUGGCGGGGUAGCCCUUCCCCUAUGAGGAUUGAGCGGGGUAGCUCAUUACUUAUGAGAAUUGAGCGGGGUAGCUCAUUACCUAUGAGAUUAGAGCGGGGUAGCUCUUCAUCUAUGACCUUUGAGAUAUGAGACGGGUGAGAAAAGAGCGGGGUAGCUCCUCACCUAUGAGAUUUGAGAUAUCAGUCAGGGCGAAAAGCGGGGUAGCUCUUCACCUCUUCACCUACUAGAUUGUGGUGUGAGUACCUAUGAGAUUUGAGAUCUUAAGCGGGGUAGCCUAGUGGAUUGGGUAAUGAUAUGAAUAGCAUAAGUGGAUUGCAUAACUAUGUUGUAUUUGUAUUCAUUACAUUGUUGAACAUAUUAUCAUGAUAGUAGGCUUAUUGCUAGACAAUAUUUCAUGAAUUGCUUGCAUUUGAUGGCACAAUAGAUCAUAGUUGCAAUUCAAUAUCUAUCUAUCUCUCUAUCUAUCUAUUUGUGCCAGCUUAGGCCUAGUGGGAAGAUCGGCGGAGUCGGCGGCCGAACCCACUGGGAACUAUAUUUAUAUAGUUCUCACCCCGUGUGGUUUUGGGGUACAGGUACACAUGUGAGCGGACCGGCAGGUGAUCGCGGUAAGGGCAUAGCGCCCUAGCUAGCUAGUAGAGCUUUCCUAUUGUACUAGAGCACCCUCGUGUGCAUGGUUAUAGAUGACAUGAUGUAUUUUGGAUAGCUAGCAUUAUAUAUAUGUGAGAUGAUUAUGUAUUCAUUUUGGGUGAUGAUGAAAAUGUAAAUGUAAUCAAAGAUGUAAAAGUGGAAUGUGAUGUAAUAGCUAGAUGUAUCUCUCUUUUUGCACUUGUA
Molecule: long non-coding RNA, 2117 nt
Filed under: Ananas comosus (pineapple)
Lineage: Eukaryota; Viridiplantae; Streptophyta; Magnoliopsida; Poales; Bromeliaceae
Description: long non-coding RNA (ACOM_LNC023319)
Source: RNAcentral